AGUAAGAAAAUGUGUUCUUGUAAUUGUUGGGUUCAUCCCUGUGUGGAGCGUGCUUCCCCAACGGCUCUGAAAUUACAGCAAUGGAUCUUGGAAGGUAUGGCUAUCCGAUAGCUGUUAAAAAAUAUGACUGUUGCUGUUUAUAACCGUUUUAAAAAGCAAUGGCGACCGUUUUAAAAAGCAGUUACCAUUGCUGUAUAUUCAUCUCUUAUAAAUGGCAGCGAGACUGUUCUUGUGGAUUAGCAAGGGCUUGUGUUCUUCCUCUUCCGUCAAUGUUUUCUUUGUCUUCUUUUUUUUUGUGAGUGUCUUUUCUUGGAGUUUUAUGUUUGUUUUGUCAGUGUCUUUCCUUGGAGUUUUAUGUUUGUUUUGUUUUUUUAAGGAUUUUCCAUGUUUUCUGAUAAGGGUUUUGUACUAUUCUUCUUCUGUGAUUUGUUUUGUUGGGUUGUUUUUCUAUUUUACAGAGGAAGAUGGAAGGCAAGCUGAUUCCAUCUCCAAUUUCCUUCCGCAUUGUGGGUUGAAUGAAAGGCAAGCAGUUAAGAGAGAGGAGGUUGGCCUGCUCAUCCGCAUUGUGAGUUGAAUGACAAAGCUACCGGGGAGGGAGGAAGAUACACGCUGAAGGCUCUGCGCUUAAUCUCAGUCUCAGUCGCAUCUACAUUCAGUGUCUGACAGGCUGAGCCAGUGUACAAAAAUGCUUGGAAGCUCCAAUAGGUAGCUGCUGAAGUCAACUAAUGAAUGCAAUUUACAAAAUUUUAGAAAAAUGUUUUAAAUAUUGAAUGGAUUAAAAUUGGUAAAAAUGUUGCAUUUUUUAAUCAAUUGUUAAAAUUGGUGUAAAUGUAAUUUGUAAAUUGAGGUUAGUAUCUAAAACUGAAGAAGAUGUUGAAUCACUAAAUGUAAUAUGUAAAUUGAGACAAUGUCUAUCCAUUAUUGUAAAUUGAUAUGUAAACUAAUUUAUUAUUCAAUACCAUUAUUCUUAUUUGGGAGGGGUUGAA
This is a long non-coding RNA of Cryptomeria japonica (Japanese cedar), 986 nucleotides long. RefSeq lists it as uncharacterized. The transcript has 2 exons. The record is from RefSeq and is a predicted model, not a curated record. Lineage: Eukaryota; Viridiplantae; Streptophyta; Pinopsida; Cupressales; Cupressaceae.